CCUACGGGGGGCAGCAGUGGGGAAUAUUGGGCAAUGGGCGCAAGCCUGACCCAGCAACGCCGCGUGAAGGAAGAAGGCUUUCGGGUUGUAAACUUCUUUUCUCAGGGACGAAGAAAGUGACGGUAACGGAGGAAUAAGCCACGGCUAACUCCGUGCCAGCAGCCGCGGUAAUACGUAGGUGGCAAGCGUUAUCCGGAUUUAUGGGGUGUAAAGGGCGUGUAGGCGGGAGCGCAAGUCAGAUGUGAAAACUCAGGGCUCAACCCUGAGCCUGCCUUUGAAACUGUGUUUCUUGAGUGCUUGAGAGGCAAUCGGAAUUCCGUGUGUAGCGGUGAAAUGCGUAUAUAUACGGAGGAACCCCAGUGGCGACGGCGGAUUGCUGGACAGUACCUGACGCUGAGGCGCGAAAGCGUGGGGAGCAAACAGGAUUAGAUACCCGUGUAGUC
Molecule: ribosomal RNA, 443 nt
Filed under: uncultured bacterium
Lineage: Bacteria
Description: partial 16S ribosomal RNA
Rfam family: Bacterial small subunit ribosomal RNA
Source: RNAcentral